ACUCCUACGGGAGGCAGCAGUGGGGAAUAUUGCACAAUGGGGGAAACCCUGAUGCAGCCAUGCCGCGUGUGUGAAGAAGGCCUUCGGGUUGUAAAGCACUUUCAGUAGGGAGGAAGGUAGUGUAGUUAACACCUGCAUUAUUUGACGUUACCUACAGAAGAAGCACCGGCUAACUCCGUGCCAGCAGCCGCGGUAAUACGGAGGGUGCGAGCGUUAAUCGGAAUUACUGGGCGUAAAGCGCAUGCAGGCGGCCUGUUAAGUCAGAUGUGAAAGCCCGGGGCUUAACCUCGGAAUUGCAUUUGAAACUGGCAGGCUAGAGUCUUGUAGAGGGGGGUAGAAUUUCAGGUGUAGCGGUGAAAUGCGUAGAGAUCUGAAGGAAUAACCAGUAGGCG
Molecule: ribosomal RNA, 392 nt
Filed under: uncultured bacterium
Lineage: Bacteria
Description: bacterial SSU rRNA
Rfam family: Bacterial small subunit ribosomal RNA
Source: RNAcentral